This 25-nucleotide non-coding RNA is filed under the name Mus musculus (house mouse). Lineage: Eukaryota; Metazoa; Chordata; Mammalia; Rodentia; Muridae. The record is from RNAcentral.
UGUGUGAUGCAUACGACGGUGUCUG